CCUACGGGGGGCAGCAGUGGGGAAUAUUGCACAAUGGGCGCAAGCCUGAUGCAGCCAUGCCGCGUGUGUGAAGAAGGCCUUCGGGUUGUAAAGCACUUUCAGCGGGGAAGAAGGCGUUAAGGUUAAUAACCUUGGCGAUUGACGUUACCCGCAGAAGAAGCACCGGCUAACUCCGUGCCAGCAGCCGCGGUAAUACGGAGGGUGCAAGCGUUAAUCGGAAUUACUGGGCGUAAAGCGCACGCAGGCGGUCUGUCAAGUCGGAUGUGAAAUCCCCGGGCUCAACCUGGGAACUGCAUUCGAAACUGGCAGGCUAGAGUCUUGUAGAGGGGGGUAGAAUUCCAGGUGUAGCGGUGAAAUGCGUAGAGAUCUGGAGGAAUACCGGUGGCGAAGGCGGCCCCCUGGACAAAGACUGACGCUCAGGUGCGAAAGCGUGGGGAGCAAACAGGAUUAGAUACCCCAGUAGUC
RNAcentral lists this ribosomal RNA (465 nucleotides) under uncultured Klebsiella sp. RNAcentral's name for it is "bacterial SSU rRNA". It matches the Rfam family "Bacterial small subunit ribosomal RNA", at positions 338 to 795 of the family's 1533-position model. Lineage: Bacteria; Pseudomonadati; Pseudomonadota; Gammaproteobacteria; Enterobacterales; Enterobacteriaceae. The record is from RNAcentral.